CAGUCGUUGCGGGAAUACGGAGGGUGCAAGCGUUAAUCGGAAUUACUGGGCGUAAAGCGCACGCAGGCGGUCUGACAAGUCAGAUGUGAAAUCCCCGGGCUUAACCUGGGAACUGCAUUUGAAACUGUCAGGCUGGAGUCUUGUAGAGGGGGGUGGAAUUCCAGGUGUAGCGGUGAAAUGCGUAGAGAUCUGGAGGAAUACCGGUGGCGAAGGCGGCCCCCUGGACAAAGACUGACGCUCAGGUGCGAAAGCGUGGGGAGCAAACAGGAUUAGAUACCCCGGUAGUCCCUGUCUCUUAUAA
Molecule: ribosomal RNA, 301 nt
Filed under: uncultured bacterium
Lineage: Bacteria
Description: partial 16S ribosomal RNA
Rfam family: Bacterial small subunit ribosomal RNA
Source: RNAcentral